Molecule: long non-coding RNA, 321 nt
Filed under: Ursus maritimus (polar bear)
Lineage: Eukaryota; Metazoa; Chordata; Mammalia; Carnivora; Ursidae
Description: lncRNA (ENSUMAG00000024858.1)
Source: RNAcentral
GUUUCUUCCACAGAAGUGGAUGGCAUUUGCUUUAACUUGCCACAACCACUUGUAAGAGGGUCUGCACCUCAGGAAAACUGUCUCCGUGGGAAGCCGGCUUUUUGCAAAGGGGUCUCAGGGCCGUGGGCCUCGGGUGUCCUCCGGCUCCCCAAAGCACAGGGACGAGGUGAGGGGCUUAGACCAUGCCUGGCAAUGUUGUUUCUUACACCUGGGUGUGUGGCAUUUUGUUUAGCUGACUACCCCCACUUGGGAUAGGUUUUCCACAGCAAGAGCAUAUUUUUCUUCGGAAGCCGUUUUUGUCCCAAGGGUCUCCGUGCUGUG